RNAcentral lists this ribosomal RNA (703 nucleotides) under uncultured bacterium. RNAcentral describes it as "bacterial SSU rRNA". It matches the Rfam family "Bacterial small subunit ribosomal RNA", at positions 788 to 1491 of the family's 1533-position model. The record is from RNAcentral.
UGGUAGUCCACGCUGUAAACGAUGUCGAUUUGAAGGUUGUUCCCUUGAGGAGUGGCUUUCGGAGCUAACGCGUUAAAUCGACCGCCUGGGGAGUACGGCCGCAAGGUUAAAACUCAAAUGAAUUGACGGGGGCCCGCACAAGCGGUGGAGCAUGUGGUUUAAUUCGAUGCAACGCGAAGAACCUUACCUACUCUUGACAUCCAGAGAACUUAGCAGAGAUGCUUUGGUGCCUUCGGGAACUCUGAGACAGGUGCUGCAUGGCUGUCGUCAGCUCGUGUUGUGAAAUGUUGGGUUAAGUCCCGCAACGAGCGCAACCCUUAUCCUUUGUUGCCAGCGAUUCGGUCGGGAACUCAAAGGAGACUGCCGGUGAUAAACCGGAGGAAGGUGGGGAUGACGUCAAGUCAUCAUGGCCCUUACGAGUAGGGCUACACACGUGCUACAAUGGCGUAUACAAAGAGAAGCGACCUCGCGAGAGCAAGCGGAACUCAUAAAGUACGUCGUAGUCCGGAUUGGAGUCUGCAACUCGACUCCAUGAAGUCGGAAUCGCUAGUAAUCGUAGAUCAGAAUGCUACGGUGAAUACGUUCCCGGGCCUUGUACACACCGCCCGUCACACCAUGGGAGUGGGUUGCAAAAGAAGUAGGUAGCUUAACCUUCGGGAGGGCGCUUACCACUUUGUGAUUCAUGACUGGGGUGAAGUCGUAA